This 396-nucleotide ribosomal RNA is filed under the name uncultured bacterium. Its description in RNAcentral is "bacterial SSU rRNA". It matches the Rfam family "Bacterial small subunit ribosomal RNA", at positions 108 to 520 of the family's 1533-position model. The record is from RNAcentral.
GAGUAACGCGUGAGUAACCUGCCCUAGAGUGGGGGACAACAGUUGGAAACGACUGCUAAUACCGCAUAAGCCCACGGUGCCGCAUGACACUGAGGGAAAAGGAUUUAUUCGCUUUAGGAUGGACUCGCGUCCAAUUAGCUAGUUGGUGAGGUAACGGCCCACCAAGGCGACGAUUGGUAGCCGGACUGAGAGGUUGAACGGCCACAUUGGGACUGAGACACGGCCCAGACUCCUACGGGAGGCAGCAGUGGGGGAUAUUGCACAAUGGGGGAAACCCUGAUGCAGCGACGCCGCGUGGAGGAAGAAGGUUUUCGGAUUGUAAACUCCUGUCGUUAGGGACGAUAAUGACGGUACCUAACAAGAAAGCACCGGCUAACUACGUGCCAGCAGCCGCGG